GGUACCAGUCUGUGUCUUGAGGAACAGGGAAGUGUGGGGUCUCGCGUGUGGCCUGUCACAUAAACAGAGUGAUCCCUGUGCGGUGGCACCUCUCAUGGGAAAAGAAGUGGAGCAUAGUGAGAUCACCCAGCAUGCCGUAUUGAGAAUUCAUUGGUCCUUUGUUCACCACCAGAGCCCAGGAAGAUCAAAGGCUUGAGCCCGCCUUAAGCCCUAGUUGGAGAGUUGCCUCAGGAGGGAAAUUCCAGAAGGGAUUGUUUCAGAGUGUUCAGAAUGCAAAUGGCAUUGCCACCUAUGUCACGUGCCUGGGAGCCCCUCUGCAGGCGGUAUCAAGGGAAGAUUAAGAUGUGGAGUCAACACAUGGACACACCCAUCCUAAGGAGAUUCCAAGAUCUUCAGCACAUUUUGCAUAAACAAGACAUAGAUCCCUGUUUCAAGACAUUGAGAUCUUUGUGGGUUGUUUGUUACCACAGAAUAACCUGACCUGUCCUUACUUUUGCUUCUCUUGAUUUUGCUUCUCUUGAAUAUCUGUGCAAAAUGGUGGCCUUUUUAAUCUGCUAAAAUUAUCUCUCCAAUUUGACAGCCUUUUUUGGGGGGGACUAUUUUAUUUCAAGUAUAUUUGCUUGCAUUUUAGAUACUUGAGUGUGAAGCAGAUUGUUGCAGUUUGGGGUUUCCGAGGAGAACAAUUUAAUACAG
This is a long non-coding RNA of Chinchilla lanigera (long-tailed chinchilla), 693 nucleotides long. RefSeq lists it as uncharacterized. Lineage: Eukaryota; Metazoa; Chordata; Mammalia; Rodentia; Chinchillidae. The transcript is spliced from 3 exons. The record is from RefSeq and is a predicted model, not a curated record.